CCCGGGUGCCGUAGGGGUGCGAGCGUUGUCCGGAUUACUGGGCGUAAAGAGCUCGUAGGCGGUUUGUCGCGUCGUCUGUGAAAUUCUGCAGCUUAACUGCAGGCGUGCAGGCGAUACGGGCAGACUUGAGUACUACAGGGGAGACUGGAAUUCCUGGUGUAGCGGUGAAAUGCGCAGAUAUCAGGAGGAACACCGGUGGCGAAGGCGGGUCUCUGGGUAGUAACUGACGCUGAGGAGCGAAAGCGUGGGGAGCGAACAGGAUUAGAUACCCUGGUAGUCCACGCCGUAAACGGUGGGUACUAGGUGUGGGGUCCAUUUCACGGAUUCCGUGCCGUAGCUAACGCAUUAAGUACCCCGCCUGGGGAGUACGGCCGCAAGGCUAAAACUCAAAGGAAUUGACGGGGGCCCGCACAAGCGGCGGAGCAUGUGGAUUAAUUCGAUGCAACGCGAAGAACCUUACCUGGGUUUGACAUACACCAGACGCAUUCAGAGAUGGAUGUUCCCUUGUGGUUGGUGUACAGGUGGUGCAUGGCUGUCGUCAGCUCGUGUCGUGAGAUGUUGGGUUAAGUCCCGCAACGAGCGCAACCCUUGUCCUGUAUUGCCAGCGGGUUAUGCCGGGGACUUGCAGGAGACUGCCGGGGUCAACUCGGAGGAAGGUGGGGAUGACGUCAAGUCAUCAUGCCCCUUAUGUCCAGGGCUUCACACAUGCUACAAUGGCGCGUACAGAGGGCUGCGAGACCGUGAGGUGGAGCGAAUCCCUUAAAGCGCGUCUCAGUUCGGAUUGGGGUCUGCAACUCGACCCCAUGAAGUCGGAGUCGCUAGUAAUCGCAGAUCAGCAAUGCUGCGGUGAAUACGUUCCCGGGCCUUGUACACACCGCCCGUCACGUCAUGAAAGUCGGUAACACCCGAAGCCGGUGGCCUAACCCUUGUGAGGAGCCGUCGAAGUGGGAUCGGCGAUGGGACGAGUCGUAACAAGGUAACCAAGGCGACACGCGAUCGAUAUCGCGGCGCUGCAGUCAUACUGACGAUGGUCAUAGCUGUUCUGUCAUAGCAAAAGUCAAAGCCUCGACCGGAGGCC
This 1078-nucleotide ribosomal RNA is filed under the name Gordonia sp. (in: high G+C Gram-positive bacteria). Its description in RNAcentral is "bacterial SSU rRNA". It matches the Rfam family "Bacterial small subunit ribosomal RNA", at positions 516 to 1533 of the family's 1533-position model. The record is from RNAcentral. Lineage: Bacteria; Bacillati; Actinomycetota; Actinomycetes; Mycobacteriales; Gordoniaceae.